CUGCAGCCAUAUCAUCUUAAAUGGCGAUCUCAUCAGAUCUCAGAACUGUGCAGGGUCAGCCCGUUCCAGUCAGUGCUUGAAUGGGAGACCUUCCAGGAAAACUCAGGAAGCCAUGUUGG
Ribosomal RNA from Chelonoidis abingdonii (Abingdon island giant tortoise), 119 nucleotides. Lineage: Eukaryota; Metazoa; Chordata; Testudines; Testudinidae. The record is from Ensembl.